UACGUAGGGUGCGAGCGUUAAUCGGAAUUACUGGGCGUAAAGCGUGCGCAGGCGGCUUACUAAGUCAGGUGUGAAAGCCCCGAGCUUAACUUGGGAAUGGCGCUUGUGACUGGCGGGCUGGAGUGUGGCAGAGGGAGGUGGAAUUCCACGUGUAGCAGUGAAAUGCGUAGAGAUGUGGAGGAACACCGAUGGCGAAGGCAGCCUCCUGGGCCAGCACUGACGCUCAUGCACGAAAGCGUGGGGAGCAAACAGG
Molecule: ribosomal RNA, 253 nt
Filed under: uncultured bacterium
Lineage: Bacteria
Description: partial 16S ribosomal RNA
Rfam family: Bacterial small subunit ribosomal RNA
Source: RNAcentral